UACACUAACCUCUAAAAGAGAUGGGGAUAUUGCUGGAGCAUAGACUCCCGUGUCUCCCAAGUGCAUUCUUCCAUAUUGUGGUGGUUCCAAAGGACUUUCACCAUCGGGAUUUCCUUAUUCCUCAACUUCCUGAUCUGGGUGUCUAUGAUCCGCACUGGCUGCUCAACAUAAGUGAGAUCCUCUUGGAUCUCUACAUCAGGCUCACUAAGAACCUUGCCCGGAUCUGACACGAACUUCCUCAACAUAGAAACAUGGAAAACCGGAUGGAUUCUUUCCAUUGAAGCAGGUAAA
Molecule: long non-coding RNA, 291 nt
Filed under: Manihot esculenta (cassava)
Lineage: Eukaryota; Viridiplantae; Streptophyta; Magnoliopsida; Malpighiales; Euphorbiaceae
Description: long non-coding RNA (MESC_LNC011887)
Source: RNAcentral